UGGACUAAUUGGAUAUGUGAUAUAUGAUAUGAUACAUUACUAUGUGCACCAUGGCCAGCCUACCAAACAAUCUAUCAAAAAACUUAAGGUAUGAGACUCCUUUUGAAUUGCUAAUUUAUCCUUCCUCAAUCAUUAUCUAUAAAAAUUCAAUUAAAUUAUUGUUUUAGAUUUUUUUUCCCUUAAAUUUGAGGUUUAAUUUUUCACUUGACUUAAUUUAGUUUUUUAUGUUUAUAACGAUAUUAUUUAGUUCAAAUAGUUAGCAUUGUUGAUUAUUCUAGUUAAAAUGUUAAUGUAAUUUUUUUUCUUAAAAAUUCUCCUUUCGAAUUGUUUUUGGUGCUGAAUAGUGUGUUUUUAAGAAAAAUCUACAUUAGUUGGAAUAUAUAAUAAUAUUAACUAUUUGAGCUAACUAAAUAAAAGUAAAGGGAAUAGGGAUUAAAUCCCAAAUUUGAGUAUAAUAAAAGGAUCAAAAAGAGAUUAAUAUAUUAUUUGGUAUUCAAAUUUGGUUUCAAUGUUUAAUUCAGUAUUUGAGUUUAACUUCAAUAUUCAGAUUAGUACUUAAUUUUUUUCCUUUAUCCCAAUUAAGCAUUUAAGUUUGGCUUAAAUGUUCAAUUUGAUAUCCAAAAUUUUCUUUUGGUCCCAAUUACGUACUUAUGUAUUUUUUCACUAGAGCACAUGUGUCAAAUAUUCAUUAGCUGCUGUUUGAUUUUGACAUGAAAACUAAAAUCAGAUACCCAAAAACAGAUUUUAUAAGAGGCUAAACAAAUAGAUGCUUGGUUUGAUUGCAGAAAUAUCACUUGAACCAUCACUUUAGGAUUCAAAACAAGGGCUUUGGCAUAACUACAACAUUGUGGGACAAAGUUUUUGGAACCCUUCCAAAGACCAAAGCAGACACGAAGAGUGGAUAGAUGAUGAUGAUGAGGCUGACAAGCAUCACAUGAUUGCACCCUGUCAUGGCCUUGUCAAUGUUUAAAUAAUGAUUUUGCCCUCUUUACUUUUAUUGUGCUCAAUAAUGGUGGUUGGGAUUGUGAGGGAGGAUCUUAGCUAAGCAACUCACUUCAUGUCUCCUGUUGUACUGUGUUUUCCCUAUAAAUAGAUGAAAUGGAUAGUGUAGUUGUAAUGGUUUAUAAAACUUUAUGAAGGUAAUAAAUUUUAUAAAAUUUUAAAAAUUAUAUUUUUAAAUAAUUUAAUCAUAUUUUUAUUUAAUUUUAAGAAUUAUAUUAAUUGAUUUUUCAAUUUAUCAAACAAUACUGAAUUUAUCAAAUAGGUUUUUCACCUUAUUUAUUGUAAUUAAUUUUAAAUACAAUUAAUUUCAUGAUAUUCAAGAAAACAUGAAAACUUUUCAGUUCAAAUAAUAGGCAUUUCAGUCUAAUUUAUAAUAAAAAAUCAAGUGAAUAUUAACGUGUUAGUAUAAAACACAUAAUAAUUGAAAUAGAUAUUUCUUGAAAAGAAAAAAUAAUAAUAAUAUAAUUUAAAACCUGAUAUAUGAUGUUUAAGAAGCCCUUAUUUGAGCAUUUUCGAAAAUGUUUGGCCCUUAUUUGAACACUUUUAAAAAGGUUUAUCUUUCAUUUGAACACUGUAGUAAAAGUUAAGCCCUUAUACGAUAUUUUGAAAAUUUUAACCUUUUUGUGAGUACCCCUAAAAGAUUGGACCUAAUUUGAACAUUUAAUCUUUAAUACCCAAAAUCAUACGAUAUUGUGUGUAUGUGUCACAUCCCAAAAAUAAGGUUAGAAGAAUCGGAUUUGUGACAACUAAAAGUGGUCACGCCUCGAUUUAUAAGGUUAUCUUUGUGUGUUGUAAAUAAACUGAGGGUUUGAAACGGAUACCGAAAUUAGGGUCAUAAGUAAUUAAUUAAAGUAUUAAAAUGAUAUAAUUAUGUAUUAUUAUAUUAAUUAAUCUAAAACAAAACUUGAUUACAAGGUUUAAUUUGAAAACAGUGUGUUUUAAUUGAGUUAGGAUCUAACUGGAAAAGGGGUAAAAUGAAUUAAAAUAUUAAUAAUGAGACUUGACUAUGAGUAUUAAUUAUUGUAUAUAAACUAAAAUACGAAUGUGUUAAAAACUAUAAAGUUAAAUAAGUUAAUAACAAAAAAUUGAGUAAAUGUAUAAGCUAAUAAAUAAUAGGUAAGUUGAGUCCGAAAUAAAUAUAUACAAUUAAGAAAUAAAAUUAAGUAAGAAAUGAGCCUUAAGUUUGGUGGUUAAGUGCUAUUCCCCGAUCAAGAGGUCCUAAGUUCAAGCUUCUUUCUCUCAUCCCAUCAAGAGAACAAAUAUUAUUUGAGGUAAAAACUAAACAAGAAAUAGACUUAAGUCUAAUGGUUAGCACACUAAUUUCCUUCUCAAUUGACUCUAGUUUCCUUUUUAUUUCGUAAUUUCGCCAAAGAAGAGAUUCGAACCUGGAUCAAUUGGGAAAGAAACUAGCAUAAAUAAAUUAAACAUUUAACUGUUAAUACCCAAAGUCAUAUAUGUGGCUCCACCAUUGUUCGUAGACUUACCAAUUCGGAAAAGAAAAGAAAAAACCCUUAUUUAAGAGUUUCAACUUAGGGUGAGUUUGGAUGGGCGAUAGAGUGCGGUGCGGUGCAUUUAGCCUACUUUUUGACUCACGCUAUAAUAUCACUAUUGUAUCUAAUUUUACCGUCAUCGUUGUUUUUACACUAACUGCAAGUAAAUACACUACCUAUCCAAACCCAUCCUUAGUUAUGACAAUACAAAAAUACAUUAUUUUUACAAAGAAAAAUAUAUUAUUUUGAGAAUAUGUUUACCUUUUAUAUUUUUUUACAUAAAUCUAGAAAUUACAUACGCAUGAUAACCUAAAACAUUGUGAUUUUUAUUAUUUGAACUUUACCAUUUUAACCAAAGUCACAUUUGAUAUUUAUAUCAAUUUUUUAUAAAUAUCUUACAUAAAAUUUUCACCCACGUUGUAAAUAUACUAUAAUCUGAUGUUUAUAAAUUGUUCCAUAUUUAUAAAACUAUGCUAACAAAGUAAAAAAGGACAUGGGUCUCACUUAAUUAUUUUAAUUUUUUUUUAAAAAAAUUUAAGUACAGUUCAAAAGACAAAAUAUGGUUAGUAUGGGCAAAAUGUGAGGUUCUCAAGUUCCAUUAUACGUGGAUAUCAUGUGCAGAUUUUCAAUCUAGAUUUUAUUCUAAUUUAAGUCUCACUACGUACGAAUCUUUUUUUAAAAUUUAUUCCAAACACGUAUAUAUCAAAUAUAAUUAUAAUUUCAUUAAUACAUUAUUAUGAUUAAUUCUCGUUAUAGUUAUACGGGUAUAUUUAUUGUAACUGCCUAAAACUAGCAACCAAACACAAAAUACACCAGAUAAAAAGGAGAGAUGUUUAAGCCCACCCAAUCAACACCACCAAUUCCCACUACAAAUGCUCUUUCAUCUUCAACCACCAAACAUACCUAGAAUUAUGAAGAAACUUACCGAAUCUUCUAAAAUUCAUGUAAAUUUAUUUAAAGCCUUGACAAGGACAUCAUUAGAUGCAAAUAUGUUUGAUGUAUUGUCUUAUCCAAUCUUCUCAGUUGAUUUGGUCUUUGGAAGGGUACCAAAAACUCUGUCCCACAAUGUUGUAGUUAAGCCAAAGACCUUGUUUUGAAUCCUAAAGUGAUGGUUCAAGUGAUAUUUCUGCAUCCAACCAUAAAUAUAAGCCCAUUGUAAAAAAAAAAUUGGUUUUUGGAAUUUAUUAUAGCGUUUGUACCUGGGUUUAGUGUUUCUGACACUGUCUGCACUAGCUACAGAUGUAGCCUGGGAUCUUGGAUUGGAGCAUGAUAUACCUCUAUCUUUCCCAAAAUACCCCAAAGAAGUAGUGGAAUGGUCAUGAUAUUUCUUGAAUUUCUUUGAGGAAGACUGAUAUGACUUUCUGGUAAAUAUUUUACUUGAAGUUCGGGAUUCAAUCACAGUUUGUCUCUUUUCUUUACUCAAUUCUUCAGCUUUAUGUGCUCGGUCAAUCAGUUCAACAAAUUCUUUUAAUUUAAGAAUCCCAACCAAUAACUUUAUGUCUUCAUUUAAAUAUUCUUCAAACCGCUUACACAUUACCAUUUCAAUCGGGACACAUUCUCUAGCAUAUUUGCUUAGUCGAACAAAUUCUCUUUCAUAUUCAGAUACUGUUCUAUUCCCCUGCUUAAGUUCUAAAAAUUCUUUCCUUUUCUGAUCAAGGAAUCUUUGGCUAAUAUACUUCUUUUUGAAUUCGGUUUGGAAAAAUUCCCAAGUAACCUGUUCUUUUAGCACAACAAAAAUUAACGUGUUCCACCAAUGGUAGGUUGAGUCUUUUAACAAAGAUACAACACAUUUUAGACAUUCGGCCGGUGUGCAAGACAGUUCGUCCAAAACCCUGAUAGUAUUUUCUAACCAGAAUUUGGCCCUUUCAAGAUCAUCUUCAGUUGUUGCUAUGAAUCCUUCUGCCCCAUAUUUACGGAUUUUAUCUACAAGAGGCUUACCAGUUUUAACAAGUUCUGUACUUUGUGACAUAUCAGGAAUCGGUUGAGAAAUAGGAGGGGUGGAGGUUGUUGUACAGCCGAGUUUGUUCUUAAAAACUCUGUAAAUCACUCGUUCAUCAUUUAGAAUAAGGUUUCUUUUGCCUCUCCUCCUCGACGCUCAGAUACGGGCCUUCUACUACUAGAUACUGCUCUUUGUACUGAAGCUUGAGCAUUGCUCUCAGCUUCUUCGGAUUCAACUCGGUUGGAUGAAAUUAUUCUAUGAAAAAUAUAUUUAAAAUGGUCAGGAGAUAUCACACUAUCAUAAAUUAUAUAAUGGCAUGUAUAGCUAGACUCGUAUACGUUAUGUUAGCCCGAGAAUCAGCUAAACUGUAGCUCUGAUACCAAUAAAUGUAACACCCCUAACCCAUAUCCUUCGUCGAAACAGGGUUACAGAGCAUUUUUAGAGUUUACAGAACAAAUACAAUUAAUUAAUAUCAUUUACUAUUCAUAUCCGAAAUCAAUCAUAUUGUCCCUUAAAUGGUCUUUCGAGGUCCAAAAUAUACAUUUAAAACAAGUUGGGACUAAACCGGGAACUCAGAGAAUUUUUCGCAAAAUCGUAAAAAAUUUCCAAGGUGUAAGAAACACACGCCCGUGUAGCUAGGUCGUGUGUCUUACACGAUCAAGAGACACGCCUGUGUCUCAGGCCGUGUGGACAUUCGAAAUAGGGACACACAGUCGUGUCCCAGCUCGUGUUAAAAUUAGGGUGGUUACUGACUUGGGUCACACGGUCAAGCCACACACUUGUGUGCUAAGCCGUGUGAACAUUUUAAUUUACAUUAAUUAGGUACAGGGGCCACACGACCAAGUCAUACACUCGUGUGCCAGGUCGUGUGCCACACACAGCUGAGACACACACUCGUGUCUCUGCCUGCGUGAAAAUACUUGAGCAUUCUGUUUUGCAAUUUUAAAGAUGCAGGGGACACACGGCCAAACCACAUACCCGUGCGUAUGGCUGUGUGUCACACACUGCUGAGACACGCGCCCGUGUCUCUACUCGUGUGGACAAAAUAAGGCCAUUUCCAAGCCUUAUUUCUCACCCAAUUGGUCUUCCACUUACAUUAACAUUUUAAUACAUUCACAAUCCAAUUUUUAAUAUACUUACAAGAUUUCCAUCAUUCAACCAUUUCAAGAACAUAUCAAACAUAUUAAGGCCAUAUAUAUACACAUCAAAACAUACUAAAUUACAAGCCAGAUCAAAUGGCUAAUUUCAACCAAACACAUACAUACUAUCCAUGACCACUUUAGCCUAUACAUGCCAUUAUAACCAAAAUGUAUUUACUAUAUAUGCCGAAAUAAGCUGAUGGAUAGUGUGAUGAUAUCUUUGUCAAGCCUCCAACCCAACGAGCUUCUGAAUUACUAUAAAACAGAGGAAAUAGAACAAAGUAAGCAUGUAAUGCUUAGUAAGUUUGUAUAACGGAAAUUAACUUACCAUUUAAUUGCAUUUAAGGUAAAUAUACAUAAUAUAUUCAAAGCAAGUUGGCCAAUAGCCUAUACACAUGUAAGGGCCCAAUUUUGUCUGUGCCUUAAACAGAAACCAAAAAUAAAAAAAAUAGUUCAUUUACAAAACAUCAGGCCCAAAUUACAAGCCCAAAUUUAAAACCUAUUACCUAAAUUACAAAGCCCAAAAAUUCAAAAAACCCUAACAGCCCAAAUGUCCCAAACACCUAAACUAUUCAGUGUACAGAAACCCUAACCCUAGCCUUUUACGCCGCACCCUACCUAGCCGCCGCUGCUCCUUCCCAUGUCAGUACCACACCAACUCGUCUGCCACCGUCAUUAACCACCACCUGCAAAAAACAGCAAAGAACAUGCAAGGAACAGUAGAGAAAAAAUAAAAAAUGUAACGAACAGUGAAACAUAUGGGUAUAAAAGCCAUAACCAGAUCGUAAAGUUUUUUUUACUGAGAAAUAUACCAAAAAAAACAAUAUACAAAAAAGCAGAGAGUUUGAAAUAGAUUCAAAUAUCAAAAGGUGCUGUUUUUUAUUUUUAUUUUUUUGAAAUAGAUAAAUAAAAAAUAAUAAAAACUUACCUAUCAAUUUGUCUCCCCUCGCCAUCGAACAUUGCUGGUGUCUAAUGAGGCCAUUUUUUAUUCUCACGUAUUAUUUUCUUUUCUUGAUUUCUAAACCAAAAAUCUGAUUUAAAAGUUUUAAAAAUGGGAGGGCUGAAAAGGCCCAUUUUUGUGUAGCUCCGGCUACCGGCCACGGCGGAGUUGCGGCAGAGGCUCGCCGGUCUCCAUGGCCAAAUUUUGGGAUACCCAGAAAGAAAAGAAAGGAAGAAUUUUUUUUAAAGUUAUUCAAAUGAUUUUUUGUUCUGUUUUUAUUAUUUAUAAUAGGACAAAUACGACGUCGUUUUGAGCCUAAGCUUCAGGCGCUAAAACGGCAUCAUUUUAACAUUAACUCGUGACCCGACUCGAUAGCAUUUAAGAUCCUCGUGUUUUUAAACAAAAUGGUCUAUUUUCUUUAUGGGUCCUUCCGCUUUUGGACUCCUUUUCAAUCUGGUCCUAUCUGUUUUAUAUAUUUAAAAUUUUUCCACAUAAUUUUAUUUUUGUUUCAUUUUGGUCCAUAUUGAAACGACGCACUCUAAGGACUGGGAAUAAUUUCCCAUCUAAUCCCUGUACCUUUGCGCGCAUUUUACUUUGGACCAUCCUUCUGCCUUUUCUUUUUUUUUACAAUCUAUCCCUAAAAUUCGUUUAAAUGGCGACUUAAUCCUUGGUUAUUUAAUUUCAACCCUUGAUAUAUUUUUUAUAUAUGUUUUGUUUAUUUAUUUAUCUAUUUAUUAUCUUAUAUUCUUUAUAUAUAUAUUAAAAAUUAUAAUGUUUAUAUUUUCUUUAUUUAAAUACUUGUUGUUCGUAUUAUUUUAUCCUUACUACUAUUAUUUAUUUAUUAAUCCAUUUAUAUUAUUAUUAUAUUUUGUAUAUGUUUAAAGUGAGAUUAUUACAUUUUUCUACUUGCACAUUUUUACUUAUUUAUUAUUGUUACUAUAUUACUUUUUUUAUCUCGUUUUUACUAUUUUGUCAUUUCUUUUAGCAUCCUCGCAUUAUUUAUGGUUAUAUUCGUCAUGAGGCAUCUAACAUUUUAUUUCUUUUGUUCGUAUUACUUUAUUUAUUUUAUUAGUAAUGACACGAAUUAAUAUCCUUAUUAUGGUUAUAAUUAUAUUAUUAGUAUUAUAGUAUUAUUUUAUUUACCCAUUGUUUAUCGUCUUACCCAAACAAGCUUUUAAAUUAUUUCAUUAUCAUUAUAUCAUACAUUAGGCUUAAAUAUUUAUUCAUUUAUAUAUAUGCCCGAAUAAGUUAAAAUGCCCAUCUCUGUAAGCAUCAUGUUCGUUUUUUUGCACAAUGAAUAAAAAGAAAAUUUUAAAUCAAAACGACGUUCAUUAUUUUUGGAAUUAGAAAAGUCGUGUUCCUAACUUACGGAAUAUGUAUUCUUUCUAAAACCGACAUAAUCGAAUAUAUUUUAAAAUAAAUAAAAUUUUUAACGUUUAUUCUCGUUUUCGGGGAUUUAAGGCAUUGUGUCCUAACUUACGGGACGUGAUCCUUUUUCUCGAUUAACUUGAAACAAACCCCUUUUCGUGCAAAUGAACUUAGUUAAGUAAUGUUUUAAUAAAAGAUCAUAUUUUAAAAUCUCUUCAAAAUUUCAAUUUUUAACACUAAAGACACCAAAUAAUCAACUAGGUACCAAUUUUGGGUGUAACGAGGGUGCUAAUCGUUCCUCGUGCGUAACCGACUCCUGAACUCAUUUUCUGGAUUUUUUGUAGACUGAAAAACAUUGUUUUAAUAAAUCAAACAUCUUGUUAAAACGAUCAAAUUACGAGGUGACCCGAUCACGCCUCAUAAAAGAAUGAUUGGUGGCGACUCCAUUUUUGUUUUUAAAUAAAAAGUCAAUUUCGAAAAAGGGUCUCGACACACAUAUCCUCAUAAAAAUGUUAGUCAUUUAUUUCACUUGAAUAUCAAUAAACAAGUAUGACUUAUCAUUAAUCAAGUUUCCUUAUUCAUGUACCUUCCAUAUCAUGUAUUCAAACUUCAUAUACAAGUCAUGUUCAUGUAGUCAAAUAUAUGUCCAUAAUCUUUUAUCACAAAUUCAUAUUGUUAUUUAUCAUAACUUUACUCGUUGAACCACUUAUAAUAUCGAUGGAUACAUGGUUAGCACACACAAAGUGUACAUACUAUAUUCCGUCAAUUCAUAUUCAGGAAUGCUCAUUGAGCAUUUAAACGGGAAGCUCUUCCAAUCCAAAUAACAGAAAGCUCAGGUGAGCUUGUAACGGGAAAGCUUAUCCGAGCUUAAUAACAAGAAACUCACAAGAGCUUAAAUCAGAAAGCUCAUGCGAGCUUAACGGGUAACUCUGAAAAGCUAUUAUCAGGAAGCUCAUGAAAGAGCUUUUAAUCGGGAAGCUCCGGAUAGCCAUAUAUCAGGACACUCACAAGAGCUGCGGUGUGUCCGCAACAUAUGCAAGAUCACUACCGAUCAAAAUGCUCAUAGGAGCAUAUAAACGGGAAGCUUGGAAGAACCAUAUAUCGGAAAGCUCAAGAGAGCUUAUAUCGGGAUGCUCAUGCGAGUUAUAGCGGGACGCUCUUGCGAGCUAUGGUGUGUUCGCAACAUAUGCAGAACCACAACCACUUCAGGAACCCUAUAUCCAUCUAAUUUCAUUUGUUCAAAUGGGAUUUAUUUCUAGUUGGACAUUAUCGGAUAUGUGAUUUAUUUUCAUACUUAACAAUUAUACAAAUUACAUACAUAUAAAUCAAGCAUAUCGCAUAAAUAUACAAUUUAGUUACACGAACUUACCUCGACAAUGUUGGUGUUUGUAGGGUACUAAUCCGAUACUUUUUGUUUUCCUCGAUCCAAUUCCGUACUAGGUCUAUCCGGAUCUAUAUGAGUAAAUUUAACUCAAUUUAAUAAAAUUCACAUUCAAUUCACAUCUUAGGAAAAAUUAUCAUUUUGCCCAUAUACUUUUAAUUAAUUUUGAUUUCAUCCCUAGGCUCGAAAAAUGAAAUUCAUGCAAUUUAAUCCUUAUUCCAAGCCUAGUCGAUUUUUACAUAUCACAAUAUCAACCCAUGUAUUUCACAAAAAUCAUAAUUAUUCCAUAAAUUUCACAUCUUUACAAUUUAGUCCCUAAAACACAAUUUCAUCAAAAUUCACUUUAUAAAAGUUGUUUACCUAUCAAAAACCUUCCAUUUUCUACCAUAAAUUUCAUAAUUCAUACUAAUCCAUGGAAAAACCCUAGUACUUUGAUAACUUUACAAAUUAAUUCCCAAGAUAGCUAAAUUAAGCUAUUACGAUAUGGGAAACAUAAAAAUUACUAAAAAUGGGACAAGAAUACUUACCCAAUUAAGCCAAAUAAGCUUGCUUGUACUCUUUUCUCUUAGCUAGAGUUUCUAUGUUUUAUUUGGGAAAGAUGAUGAUAAAUGAUGAUAUUUUUAUUAUUUUAUCAUUUAUCAUCUUUUAUUAUUUCACUUUCCAAUUUCAUCCUUUUCGUUAAUUAAUUUUCCAUUGAUGACUAAUCAUACUUAUCUACUAACUCCUCUUAAUGGUCUAAUUUCUAUAUAAUGACCUCAAAUUUUGAAUUCCAUAGCUAUUUGAUCCAUUUAACUACUAGAACUCAACUUUUACAUUUUAUGCAAUUUAGUCCUUUUUAUUGGAUUAGACAUAAAAUCAGUAAAAUUUCUUUACGAAAUUUGCAUUUUGACAUUUCUAUCAUAAUGCAGAGCAUGAUAUAAUAUUAAAAUAAAAUUUCUUCCAGACUCAAAUUUGUGGUCCCGAAACCACUGUUCUAAUUUCACUGAAAACGGGUUGUUACAGUCAAUAACAUGUAAAGAAUUACACAAAAAAGUACUAAUUUUUUAAAAUUGGUUGCACAAAAAUUAAAAAAAGUAUUAACUUAUUGAAAAAAAAAACAAAAUGAUAAAAAUUUGUAAAAGAAGAUAUUAGAUACAGACGAGUAUAUAAUAAUGCUUUGUUAUCUUUAAAAUUUAAUGUCGUGGCACUAUUUUAUUGGUGCAUAAAAACUAUUAUUUUUAGGAUGAUCUUAAUAUAAUUUAUUCCCUUAAAAAUAUUAGAGAUUAAUCUUAAAUAUUAUAAUUUUCAAUAUUAUUAAAUAUACAUAUUUUUAUUUUAAUAAAAGUAUUUAAUAUUAUAAUUUUAUUUCAUUAAUAAAAUUUAACAUUGAUAAUAAUUUCAAGUUCUAAUUAAUAUUUUUAAUAUUUUAUUACAAAAAAUUAUAUUAAUCUUUUAAUAAUAUAUUAAAUUUAUAAAUAUUUAGUAAUAAAUAUUUUAUAAUAUAAAACAUAAAUAUUUUAAUAAUACGAAUAUGAUCUUACUUAAAAUUUCAUUUCCCUUCCUACUAUAGUGUUUUACUAUGAUCUUGCUAUAGUAUUUGUUUCUAGGUUCUAUAGGUUAAUAGACAAACCCAUUUCCUGUUGGUUUCUACUGGCCCAAAUACGUUUGUUGGACAAAGUCUGGUUGUUAAUAUAGGGCUUUUUUCAUUUGUGGUGUUUUCUUCCUGCUCUUACUCGUUGACAUUUUUUUUAUUUUCAACAUCGGAGUUUUUUUUAAUCAUGGUGAAUCCUUCUGAAUCGAUUAUUGAUUUUAAUCAUCCCUUUUACCUGCAUCCAUCCGAUACUCCAGGUACCUUGUUGGUGUCUCACCAGUUGCUUGGAGUUGAGAAUUAUAAUGUUUGGAUCUGGACCAUGAAAAUCGCGUUGUCAGCCAAAAACAACUUGGGGUUUGUAGACGGUACUUGUUCUAAGGAUUCAUUACCAGAUGAGAUGGGCUAUCAAUGGGAGCGGUGUAAUGCCAUUGUCUUGUCUUGGAUUUUGAAUAUAGUUAGCAGAGAGCUCUCAGUAGGGAUUAUUUUUGCAUCUAGCACAGCAGCGGUGAGGAACGAUCAUGGUGAAUGGUUCCACAAGGUUGAUGGUUCUAGAUUAUUUUUUGCAUCAUGAAAUCACCUUCAUCUUCAAGGUACUGCUUCCAUCUUUGUGUAUUUUACUAAAUUACGAUUGUUCUAAGAUGAAUACGAUGCUCUUGUGCCCUUUUCUUCAUGUGGAUUUGUUCAGUUACAGCAAAAUGUUAAGCAUGUUUUGCAGCAGCAUCUAUUCCAAUUUCUAAUGGGAUUGAAUGAAACAUAUAAUGCGAUGCGUAGUCAAAUCUUGUUAAUGAACCCAUUACCAUCUGUCAAUCAAACGUACUCUAUGCUCGUGUAAGAGGAAUCAUAGAUGCAACAUAGUUCUAGUGUUGUUGGGUUCAAUCCAGUCUCUUUUCACUCAGCACACAUGGUACAAAAGAAACGUUUUACUGGAACUUGUGAUCAUUGCAAGAUUAAAGGGCAUAAAAGGGAAAGUUGCUAUAGGAUAAUUGGUUGCCCUGCAGAUUUUAAGUUCACUAAGAAGAAGGCAAACAAUGUUUUUGGAUCCGUAGUGAACAAUGUUUCUGUUAAUGAUAUUGUAAGUGGAAAUGAAAUGACUAGUGAUGUUGGUGUAUCUAGUCCACAAGCACAUGUGUUUACUCAAGCAUAAUAUCAGCUAAUCUUGAGUUUGUUGAACAAUGAGCCUAUAGUUGAAGCUACUGUAAGCCUAGCAGGUAUGGUUGAUGUAGGUCAAAAUUGGAUUAUGGAUACUGGAGUUACUGACCACAGCCUCUAUGAUUUCCAAUUCUUAGAAUCUCCUGUUGCAUGUGCAUCGCAUUCACAUUGUGUUCGAAUCCCAAAUGGCUAUUUUGUUUCAAUUACUCAUGUUGGCACCUGUACUGUUCAACCUAAUCUUCAUCUUACCAAAGUUCUCUAUGUUCCCAAUUUCCAUUAUAACCUUCUUUCUAUUUCUAAACUUACUAAUGAUCUUAAUUGCGUUGUUUCGUUUUGUCCUUAUUUUUUUGCCUCAUACAGUAUCUCUUAAGUGGAAAGAUGAGGGGGAUUGGUAGGGAGCGAGGUGGUCUUUACAUCCUAGAACCUUCUGGAUAGACUAGUGUAGCUGUGACUCCGUCUGUUGUAUCUGUUACAUCCAUUGAACCAUCAUUUUUUUGGCAUACUAGACUUGGCCAUGCUUCUGUUUCAAGAUUGAAUAAGGUGCUUAAUCUUCCCUGCACAAUUUUGAAUAGUGAUAGCAUACAACAAUGUCCUAUGUGUCCUCUUGCUAAACAAACUAGACUUCUAUUUCCCACAAGUACAUCUUGUGUCGAUACUAUUUUUUCUCUUAUUCAUAUAGAUUUGUUGGGGCCCUAUCGAGUUUCUACUCAUAGUGGCUAUAGGUAUUUUUUAACCAUUGUUGACGAUUACUCAAGAAUGACAUAAGUGUAUUUGUUAUGAUAUAAAAGUGAUGCUCUUGUAUAUCUCAAACAGUUCUUUGCCUUGGUUAAGAAUCAAUUUUCCACUAGCAUCAAAUUCGUUCGUAAUGAUAAUGGGUAUGAAUAUUUUAAGACUAAGUGCAACGAAUUUUUUAAUAUGUUAGGCGUUGUACAUCAAAGCUCGUGUGUUCACACUCCUCAGCAAAAUGGAGUUGCUGAGCGUAAACAUAGACAUUUGCUUGACAUUGCUAGGUCUCUCGAAUUUCAGUCUCAUAUGCCUAGUAAAUUUUGGGGUGAGUGUGUAUUAACUAUAUAUUUUUUUGAUAAAUCAACUACCUACUCCUCUCUUGCAUUAGAAGAGUGUUUUUGAACUUUUAUAGCGUAAACCUCCUUAUCUUUCUCGUAUAAAAGUGUUUGGAUGUCUUUGUUAUACUACCACACCCAAUUAUCAUGAUAAAUUUUCUCCUAAGGCUAUUCCUUCUGUGUUUAUGGGACAUUCUACUGUUCAGAAAGGUUACUUGUUAUUCAAUCUUGAAACCAAAAUUUUUUUUUGUUAAUUGCGAUGUUGUAUUUCAUGAGACCAUGUUUCCUUUUGUCUUUCCCACAAAACAUUUUUUUUUAUUUUUUCCUAUAGCUGAUAGCUCUACUUUUCAUAAUCUGGAGCAUUUGUCUUCCAUUCCUAUCCUUUUACGAUCACCUAUUUUGCCAAAAACUUCUUCUUCCCAAACCUUACCAACUGAUACUACUUUACCUACUUAAUUUUGCAUCCUUCCUGAACCAAUUUUUUUCCCAUCAAACCCCUUACGACGCACCACACUGUCUGUCAAGCCACCUGCCUGGAUGAGAGAUUAUGCCUGUUCCAACCAAUCUUUCGCUUCCCUUACUACAAGUUCAUAUCCUAUUUCUCAUGUUUAUUCCUCGUUGCAUUUACCUGUUCACAUCCAAUUGUUUGCAACCUAUAUUUCUUCCCUGACUAAACCCCAAACAUAUGCUGAGGCCAUCUCGGAUCCAAGAUGGGUCUAUGCUAUGCAACAAGAAAUUCGAGCUUUAGAAGACAAUGGUACGUGGGAGGUCAUUUCUUUACCUGCUAGUGUUGUUCCUAUUAGGUGCAAAUGGGUCUAUAAGAUCAAGUAUAACUCUGAUGGCUCUGUUGAACGGUUUAAAUCCCAAGUGGUAGGGAAAGGAUACAAUUAGCAGGCUGGUAUUGAUUUUCAGGAGACUUUUUCCCCUGUGGUUAAGCAUGUCACUGUUCGGACUAUUGUUAGUAUGGUUGCCAUGAAUGACUGGCCCUUUUUUCCAAAUGGAUGUUUACAAUGCUUUCAUGCAAGGAGAUUUGUGUGAAGAGGUUUAUAUGAUCAUUCCAGAUGGUUUUCACAACAGGGGGAGCACAAAGUGUGUCGUCUGCUCAAAUCAUUGUACGAUUUGAAACAAGCUUCUCGGCAAUGGAAUUUAAAGCUUACUAAGGCAUUGUUGCAAGGAGGUUACACACAAAGCAAAUAUAACUAUUCCUUGUUUUCCAAAAGAGAAGGGGGUAACAUAGUCAUCCUACUUGUUUAUAUUAAUGAUAUGCUAAUCACAGGAAGUGACAUUGGUAUAAUAAAUGAGCUUAAAAAGGUCUUGCACCAAAAUUUUAAUAUGAAAGACUUGUAACAACCCGAUUUUGGGCCUAAUCGGAACAGUGGUUUUGAGAUCACAAAUCUGACGAGGAAAAUUUUAUUUUAUUAUAUUUUUAUGGUCUACAAUUUCACAGAAUAAUUUUGUGAAAAUUUCAUUCGAAAAUUUCGACAUUUGAGCACUCAAUUUAGUAAAAAGGACUAAAUUGUAAAAAGUGCAAAAAUUGAGUUCUACAUGUUAGAACUGUACAAUUGUUAUGAAAUUUUAAAUUGGAGAUCCUUAUAUGGUAAUUAGACCAUUGGUUAAGUUGGUGGACAAAAAUGGACAUGGUUAGGCAUGUUUCCAAAGUUUUUCAUUAAGGGUAUUUUAGUCAUUUAGUAAUUAAAAUGAAUUAAAAAGAAAAUUAAAAUCCAAUUUUUGUCCAUAUUUAAGCUAGGGGCCGAAAUUUUCAUGGAGAAACCAUGGCUAGGGUUUUUCAAGCUUCCAAGCUCGAAUGUAAGUUCGUUCUAGCCCCGUUUUUAAUGAUUUUCACGUUUUUGAAAUCCUUGUAACAUGCUUUAUUUAUUCCUACCAUUUAUUUGAGAUAUGAUGAAGGUCUAGGUUUUGAACCAUGUUAGAAAUUUGUGUAUUUUGAUGGUUAAUGGUAGAUUAUGCAUGUUUAUGGUUAGAGAAACAACUUUUACUAAGUGAUUUUCGGUGAAAAUGCAUUAAAGGACUAGUUUGUAAAAAGAUUGUAAAAUGUGUAUAAGUGUGUGAAUAAGUGAAAAUUGUGGACUGCUAUAGUUAUGAAAAUGGUUCGGCUAGGCCUAAAAUGCAAGGAAAUUUAAUAAAAAUUAUUUUACGAGUCUAGGGGCAAAAUUGUAAUUUUGUGAAAUUUUAGGGGAAAAAUUUAAUUUUGCCAAAGUAUGAUUUUUGGACUAAAUUGAAUAAUGUGAGUGUUAAGUAAGUUUGUAUGUGAAUAAUGCAUUGUUUUAACUUUAUUUAAUAUAUUGUUGAGAUAUGAUUGAAUAUAGAAUAAAUAUUUGACGUAGAUUACAAAAAUGUGGUUAAAUUUGAAAAAGUUGGUAAAAUAUUGUAAAAUAAGGUUCCCGAUUAAACACUCGAAUUAGACCAAGAUUCAUUGAAUGUAAGGGGUUGUUAAGUGCAGAUUCCUCGAAUCACUAAUCAAAAAGGGGUUGCUAAGUGCAGAUUCCCCGAAUCACUGAUCGAAAAGGGGUUGCUAAGUGCAAAUUCCCCGAAUCAUUGAUCGAAAAAGGGUUGCUAAGUGCAAAUUCCCCAAAUCAUUGAUCGAAAAGGGGUUGCUAAGUGCAGAUUCCCCGAAUCACUGAUCAAAAAGGGGUUGCUAAGUGCAGAUUCCCCGAGGGGUUGCUAAGUGCUAAUUCCCCGAAUUAUUGAUUCUAAAGGUGGUUGCUAAGUGCUGAUUCAACCGUAUCCUUGAUUGUGAAAGGGGUUGCUAUGUGCUGAUUCCCCGUAUAACUGAAUAUAAGGUGGUUGCUAAGUGCUGAUUUCACCGAGUAACGGUUAAUAUUUCGAAGUGUUCAUCAGGGAAAUUGGACAAGUGAAAGUACAUGUGAAAUGAAUAAGAUUACGUGAUGAAUACUGAGUUCUAUAUUUAAUCAACCCUUGAGUAAGAUGAUAUGAAGAAAUGAAACUAUUAAAGAGUAAAUUUAGAAAUAAAAUAGUUUUGAACAACAGUAGUUGUGUGACUUUGAAAAAUCACCAAAAAUGGUUGAAAUUGAAUUAGAGGUUGAAUAAUAUAUGCAAUUAAAGCUGAAUGAGCCUAUUUUCACAUAAAAGAGACAGAGAAAACAAAAGAGUUUUAUAUUAUGAGAUAUUUGAAUUUUAGUGAGACAGGGCCAGAAUGAUUUUGAAAUCCCCUGUUCUAACUUUGGAAAAUCAUUAACAAUUGUAAAAAAAUAAUUAUGGGCUAAAAUUUAUAUGUUUAGAAUACUGAAUGAGUCUAUUUUCAAAAGAAACAAACGAGAACAUUAUCCAAAUUCUUUACAAUGAGAUAAUUAAUUUUUAGUGAAGAGGGGUUGGAACUGUCAAGUAGUGAAAUAGGGGAAACUUUAAAGAAUAAAUUGUACUUAUUAGCUAAGCCAAAAAUUCUGAAAAUUUUAUGGAAAAAAAGAUAUAUGAGUCUAGUUUUGGGAAAAAUUAACAUAUCUUAAUUUGGAGCUCUGUAGCUCGAGAUAUAAAUAAAUUAGUGACUCUGACUCAGACAGACAGCUUGAAUUUACAUACAGGAAAAUUGUGAAAGUAUGGAUAAUGUUGUUUAAGUGUGUUAUACACAUUAAGGAUGUGGAAUGGAGAGGAGGAGGAGGAAAAUUGGAAAAUAUAUGAAUUAUUUGUGUAUAAUUAGUCAUAUGUUCGGUUAUAAUUGAUAAACGAUGAAAUAGAAAUGACAUUUAUAUUUGUGCAAUUAUUGGUCAUGGUUUAAGCUCAUGUGGGAAAAUAAAGUUUCAUAGUGUGUGUGUAUGGUAUAUUGGGUAUAUGAUUUGACAUGAAGUAAUGUUAUGAAUGUUUUAUGAAUUAACUCAUGUUGGUAAGUUUGAUACAUGAACAAAUAUUGUGCUCAUCAUUGCUUAUAAUGCUUAUGCUAUAUGUUUAUUUGGCUAACAUAUUUGGAUAUAUGCUUAGGCUUUGGCCAAUUUGUGGCUGGAUUAUGCCACGUUAAACUUAUAAGUUAUGCAUUGAAAUGGUAAGUGCCUAAAUGAAAAUAUGUGUGUGAUCAAGAAAGGGGUGAUAAGAUUCAAAUUAUGUAAUCUCUAGUGAAAUAGUUUAUCAUGUGGUUAGUUCCAAAAAGAAUUAUGUUUAAAUACACUAGCUUGCGACUAUGGUUGAAUGAUAUGUUUAUGUCUUGUGUGAUAUGCAUAGGAAACGGGUAUAGAAAGGUAAUGAAAUAGUAAGUUCAUACUUGAAGUGUAAAAUAACGAAAAAGGGGAUAAUGAGUUGAAUUGAUGUUAUUUAAGCUAAAGUGAUAUUUUCAUUGCAAAAUUGAGAAUUUCAUAGAUGUGUUAAUGAAUGGUAUAAUCGAUAAACAUUGAGUUAAAUGGUAAAUACGUAUUAGUAUUGAUCUUAAUGAUAUUGAAUUGUAAGUGAAUUAAAAGGAAAUUGCUAGUGAUAUGAUUUGAAUUGUAAGCAUGAGAAAUUGUGAAAUGAAUGAAAAGGAAAUGAAGCAUUGAAUUGCAUGAGUAUGUAUCGGGUCUAGUAGUCCCUAUUUAUUAUGAAUAUAAUAUUUUGAGGAUAUAUAGUGAAGAACUAUAAAAGUAUGUUAAUAAUUUGAAAUUUUUAAUUUAGAUGAAAUUUUAUAACUAGGUUCAAUACGUUUACAAGUGUAUGUGUUCUGGUAAUGCCUCGUACCCUAUUCCGAUGUCAAAUACGGGUAAGGGGUGUUACAAGACUUGGGUGCAUUGAAAUAUUUUCUUGGAAUAGAGGUUUUGAGAUUAAGUGGAGGAAUUGUGUUGAAUCAAAGGAAAUAUGCGUUGGAGUUGAUAGCUGAUGUUGGGUUAGGAGAAGCAAAACCAGUGAGUACGCCCUUUGAACAAAAUCAGAAACUCACUUCGAUUGAGUAUGAUGAAUCUGUACAUAUGAGGGUUGAUGGCGAUGAAUUGAUUACUGAUGUUGCAGUAUAUUAACGACUUCUAGGAAGGUUGCUAUAUUUGACCAAUACACAACCAGACAUAUCGUUUGCAGUCCAACACUUAAGCUAGUUCAUGCACAAACCAAAAAAAUCUCAUUGGAGGCUGUUUUCUGGGUGGUUCGAUAUAUAAAAAAAAUCCUGGUCAAGGUAUCCUGUUGGCUGCAUCUAGUAAACCACAACUUAUUGCAUUUUGUGAUUUUGAUUGGGCUUCAUGUCCCAUGUCCAGACGAUCCGUCACUGGUUUUUGUGUUAAGCUUGGAGAUUCUCUCGUUUCAUGGAAAUAAAAAAAAUAAACUAUUGUUUCUCGAUCGUUAGUAGUGGCUGAAUAUAGAAGCAUGGUAGCAGUAGUAACAGAGGUUAUUUGGUUGGAUGGCUUGUUGAAAGAAGUCUGCCUUAGUUAGCUUGACAAGUCUUUACUUUUUUCAGAUAGUCGGGCAGCAUUACAGAUUGCAACAAAUCAUAUCUUUUAUGAACGCACUAAACAUAUAGAAAUUGAUUGUCAUUUUGUACGAGAUAAAAUUGGAGAAGGUUUGAUUCAAAUGUAACAUAUUGGGACAACUGAACAGCUUGCAAAUUUGAUGACUAAAGCUUUUGGAAUCAAGCAGCAUGAAUAUUUGGUGUCUAAGUUGGGAGUUAAAGAUUUUUAUCACCCCUCAACUAGAAGGAAAGUGUUGAGAAGAAAGUAGACAGUUAGCUGAGUAAUUAGACUCAGAUAGUAUAAUUAGUUUGUUAGUCAGUUAGCAGGCAGUUUAUAAAACUAAUGAGUUUCUUACUUAAUAUACUAUUAGUUUUUUCCAUUCAUCAAUAAAUUCUUGGUAGCUUUUCAACACAAUCAUCAUUCUGACUCAUCGUUCCAAGUGACAUUAAAUGAUUUGUUCUUUGCAGGCUUUUACUAAAAGUGCCAAAAGCAUUCAUAUUUAUGGCAUUUAUUUCCUUUUUCGUUUCGUCGGAAUUUGUGUCAUUGAAAGCAACUCUCCUUCUGCCUUUGCUAUUAUUGCUUUUUAAAGCUCAUUACUAAGAGAGCAAGUUGUUCUUAUAACUCUCCUACUGUCAUAGUUGUGUCAUUUGUGGUGCCUUUGGAGGUAUCAACUCCAACUUUCACACUUAGAGCUAUAUUAUUGCCUUGCUUAACUCUAUCUUUCUGUUCAUUUCAAAUCUCCAUAAUGAACCAAUUAGUUCGUUAAUGCUAUUACCUUCUUCAACAGCGGCCACAUUAGUCCCAAACUUUUCUCGAAAACGAAUAUUUUACGUGAAAAACUCUUAUUAAGAAAAUUACGAGCAGAGAAAGAAAAUUUCACUAAUGUUAAAAAAUAAUAAUACUAGAACUACCCAUAGCUCCUCCUCAACCCAUAAAGAGGAGGAUAGUGCACUUCAGUGCACUCAAACCCAUGUCCUCCUACAUUGACAACAAUAUCCAUGCCAAUCGAGUUAAGACUCAAUCUGCAUUUUGAAUAUUUUUAAAAUAGGAGGAUAUUUUUUAAAAUUUUAAAUAUUUUUUGGAUUUUUAUAAUUUUUUUAAAAUAAUUUUUUUACUUUUUUUGAAUUUUUUAAAAUUAAUUAAUUGCUCAUGUGACAUACACGUGGAUUGCAGUUGAUAACUUUUCCUUCCAUUUUGAGAUAAUUUAACAAAAACACAAAUUCAAGACUUAAAAAGACAAUUUAAAUAAAGAGCUAAAAUAAUUUUUUUUAAAAGUUGGAGGACCAAAUAAAUCAUUAUACCUUUUUUCUUUUAUAAAAUGGAGAUAAAUGUUGGAUUUCUAGAAACAUUAACUUAAAAAAAUAGUUUUAAGUACAAAUUAUAAUAAAAAAAAGUUUAGAUACUAAAAUAAAAAAAAAUAUUUAAUUUAAGUACCAAUCAGUAAAUUAAACCAAAAAAUAAAAAGUCACGAGCGGGAAAGUGAUUGUUUUUAUAUCUAUAAUGAUAAUAUAUAAAAUUUGGCGUUAUAUUUAUCUAUGAGAUGUGAUGACAUAAUGCCAUUAUUUUAUAAGAUCCUGUUUCGGCCAUUUAUAUAAAAUGUAUUACAUUAAUAAUUUAUAUUACAUCAAAACUUGAGAUACUGGUGCAUAUGAAAUAUUAAUAAAAAAAUUUACGGAUCAAAUUGCAAAAAGUUGCUAACUUCAGGAACUAAAUCUUGCUAUAUCCCGAGUUACUAUUUUACUAGUUUUCUAACUUUAUAAAAUAAAGUUUAGUAUUUAGUACACUGACUGUGUACUUUUUUUCUUCCACAAGUAAUUUUAAGAUAUUAAUACAAUGUUGAAUUUAAGUUAUAAAAUUUGUUUGGUAUAUUAUUAAUUAUAUUGUUUGAUAAAGCAUAAUAUACUUUUUUUCCUCUCUUUUUUUUUAAAUAUUUAUUUUUUUAACAUUUUAUUAGAUCUUAUAGGGUACUUGUCAACCCGCUAACCCUGCUUGUGAAGUCUAAAAACUUCAAUAAUAAUAUACUAAAUACUUUCUCAUAAAACAAAUUACCAUUGUAAAAUAAAUGUAUUACCAUUUAAUAUUUAAGUAUUUUUCAUUCUAUUAGUAACAAGAAAAAAGAGUUUAAAUUAAUAUUAUAUUAUAAAGUGUUGAAAAAAAUCAAUCAACUGAAAACCCACAAUGGAAACUACUAGUCACUAGAUAGAAUUUUUCAUUAAAUAGCAAUGGCAAAUCCAAGGGGGCUGGCAGAGCCCAUCCCUCAUAAAAUUUAGGCCUUUAAAAUUUUUUGCACCUUAGCUUUCUUAAAAAUAAUAACAUUUUGAUUUAAUUUUUUAAAAAUUAUAAUUUAUUUUAUAAUUUACUUUCGGCCAUUCCUAAAAAAAUUUUCUGGCUUCGCCUCUGUUAAAUAGUGUAGAAAAUGAUAAGUAGAUAGGAUUUACUUAUCACUUAAUAAAGAAUAAAUUCAAUUGUAUUUUAAUUCAUUAAAGAUUAUAUUAUGCUUUAUCAAACAAUAUAAUUAAUAAUAUACCAAACAAAUUUUAUAACUUAAAUUCAACAUUGUAUUUUUCUGUACUUAUUUUUUUCAGCACAUAAUUUUUCAUUUUAUCAAAAUAGCCUAACUCAAACUUUUACUAUGGUUUAAAAUAUUUUAUUGUUAAGACUUAAUCGUCAUAAAUAUUGUUGUCAAUAUAAGAAAAUGUGAGUUUGAGUGCGUUAAAGCAUACUAAUAAACUCUAAUUUUCCAUGUGUUUUAUUGAAGAAACUACACUUUCCGAGAGAAAUAUUAAGAGAAAAAAGGAGCCCUUAUUUCCAUAAGAAAGAAAUUUUAAUUGCAGGAGCAUUAGAAGCUCAUUGGAACUUUACUUACCUACUAAUUAACAAUACGUUACAUAAAAGUUAUCAAUAUGGCUGAGAUUCCCUCUUAUAAAUAUUGCCCUUUCAUCUCUUUCUUUCUAUUCACUUAACAGUUCCUUUCAGUAUCCUGUUUUCCCAGAAAACUUUUCCUGGGUUUGGCUCUUGAUCCAACCCAUAAGUCUUUAGGGUUGGUACUGCUUUUUCAUGUCUCUUUCAUCUAUUUCAAGUUCUGGGUAACUUUCUUUUCUUUUUUUACUGAAUCGUGGGAUUUAAUGUGUUUGUUGACAGUUUCAAAGAUAUGGCUGGAAAGGAGUUCACUGUUAAUCUGAACAAACCCCUUGUCUUCCAGGUUUCUUUUUUUUUUUCUUUUUACAACUUUCGGUUUUGCUUUUCGUAUAUUUUGGUACAAACAUGAUGACAAAGGAAACAUAAGCUAAUAACAUCUUCACAUGUUGAUUAUAAAUUGGUAAUGGCAGGUUGGUCACCUUGGAGAAGCUUACCAGGAAUGGGUUCAUACGCCUAUUGUGACAGAUGAAAGUCCUCGCUUUUUCAAGAGUGAUUUCAUGGAGGUAUUUUUACCAAUCUUUCCCCUUUGAAAUACCAUGGAGUAUCUUGGGAGUUAAAUUGUAUUUUUUUUCUCUCUAAGCAAAUUAAGAGUAAAUUAGUUGUUUUUGUAGACGUACAAGCCAUUUGAUUAUUCUGUCAAUCACACCAGUUUUUAACAAAAAUAAUCAAUUUACUGUUUGAUCUAAUGUAUAAAAAUUAAUUUACUUAACCUUUUUCAGUAAAAAAAGUAAAAUAUAAUUUAUUUUCACACUUUGAAAUACUUUAAUGAUUGCAUUACCCAAAUUCAAUUGGGUUCGAAUUAUUUUGAGUUUGGUCAUAAUUUGUGGUUGAAAUAGAUCCUGACUCGGACAGUGUGGUGGGUAGUACCAUUGAUAUGGGUGCCGGUUGCAAUGUGGUUCAUCUCAGUCUCGUACACAAUGGGUCAUACACUUCCCCAAGUUGUUUUAAUGUCUGUUGUUGGAAGUUUCAUUUGGACAUUCUUGGAAUACUGUUUCCACCGUUUCCUUUUCCACAUUGAAACAAAGAGUUACUGGUUAGUGUUUUCUUUUUCUCUUGGACUUACUUAUAACGCACAUACAUAUUUUAUGAGAGGAUGUAGUAAUUCAUUGACAACAUUGGUGAAGGGCAAACACUUUUCACUAUCUAAUCCAUGGCUGCCACCAUAAGCACCCUAUGGAUGGGCUAAGGCUUGUGAUUCCACCUGCAGAAGCUGCUAUACUAGCUAUAAUGGUAUGUAUAUAUUUAUAUGCAUUACUUUAUUUUUUGUUUUUCAUAUAUGGGUUGAUUAAGAAAAAUUAUUAUUAUUUAGAAAUAUUUACAAAAAAACUUUUAAAAUUUUGUCAAAUAAUAUUUAAAAGCAAUAACAUAAAGUUAAUUUUAUCAAAAUAAGUCUAAAACUCUAAAACUAAAAAUUAAUAUGAAAAAACCAAAAAUGGAACCGAGUGAAUUCAGAAAUUCUAAAAAAUCCAACCGAAUCAUCCCUACAUACAUUGCAUGGGUUUAGGGCUCUCACCUCUAUAAUUAGUAAUUUAAAAUUUUUAAAAAAAAUUCUUAUUGAGUUGGUGUUACGGGUCAACUAGACACCAUCUUUACUGAUAAUUUAUUGAAAUAUUAGUACUGACUACACUGAAUUAGACCAAUGGGGGUAGCAAUUUAAUGAGAGGUAUAAAUUCAGUUGAUUCGUGAACUGGUUGAGUCGAGUUAAAAAAAUCAAUUGAACUAAUUUUUACUAUAUAUUUUUUUAUUUUUACUUAAUUUUUAACAAUUUAUUUACCUUGAAUCUACCUUACAAAAUAUUUUUUUUAUAUAUGCAAAAUAACAAAUACUAAUACAAAGAUAAAUUUUACCAACAAAUAUAAUUUAAAAAUAAUGAAAUUUAAAAACAAGUUGGUCCCAUAUUAAUUAUUUCUAACAAAACAUUGGGAUAAGUAAAGUUUGAUAAAAUAUUAGUUAUUUGAUCUUCACGUGUCAAGUAGUGUUAAAAAAUAUAUAAUAAAAAAUUUAACGGUGAAAUUUAUAUUUCCAACUAAUAAAUGGGAAUACGUGGCCCAAAAUAGUGACCAACUUUUUAAGGGUAAAAAGAGGAAAAAAUUUAAAAGUUUCAAAAAGAUAAUUUAAGUCGCAUUGAUUGAGACUUUUAGGUUAAAAUCUUAGUUGAAUUAUGGUAGUUGAUAAAAUUUGUCAUUAUAUUUAUUUCUUAUUAAUUAUAUAUUAUGUUCCAGGGGUGAAGUUAGAAACAGAAAUUAAAUUGUAAUUUUACUAUUUUAAUAAUUUAUAUCUUUAUAUUUUUAAAAUGAUUAAAUAAAAAAAAAUUAUUUUAGGGGGGCCGGAGGCCUACUAGCUCCCCUAGCUAUGCCCCUGUCAUGUUCUAUGAAGACAACUUAAUUAGCGUGCCAAAUUGAUAAAUUAACAGUAAAUACAAAUAAUGCUAAUCGUUGGGUUGAGAUUAUUAAAUUAGAAAAAUAAGAUUACUUAAUUUUUAAAAUUUUAAAGUAUAUAUAUGAAAUUUCAAAUCUUAAACGAGAUUUAAUGUGUUUGUACCAGUUUUGGAACUUGUAUGGGAUUUUAUUCACUAUCUCCACAAGACCUGCAUUAUUUGGAGGUGGACUAAUUGGAUAUGUGAUAUAUGAUAUGAUACAUUACUAUGUGCACCAUGGCCAGCCUACCAAACAAUCUAUCAAAAAACUUAAGGUAUGAGACUCCUUUUGAAUUGCUAAUUUAUCCUUCCUCAAUCAUUAUCUAUAAAAAUUCAAUUAAAUUAUUGUUUUAGAUUUUUUUUCCCUUAAAUUUGAGGUUUAAUUUUUCACUUGACUUAAUUUAGUUUUUUAUGUUUAUAACGAUAUUAUUUAGUUCAAAUAGUUAGCAUUGUUGAUUAUUCUAGUUAAAAUGUUAAUGUAAUUUUUUUUCUUAAAAAUUCUCCUUUCGAAUUGUUUUUGGUGCUGAAUAGUGUGUUUUUAAGAAAAAUCUACAUUAGUUGGAAUAUAUAAUAAUAUUAACUAUUUGAGCUAACUAAAUAAAAGUAAAGGGAAUAGGGAUUAAAUCCCAAAUUUGAGUAUAAUAAAAGGAUCAAAAAGAGAUUAAUAUAUUAUUUGGUAUUCAAAUUUGGUUUCAAUGUUUAAUUCAGUAUUUGAGUUUAACUUCAAUAUUCAGAUUAGUACUUAAUUUUUUUCCUUUAUCCCAAUUAAGCAUUUAAGUUUGGCUUAAAUGUUCAAUUUGAUAUCCAAAAUUUUCUUUUGGUCCCAAUUACGUACUUAUGUAUUUUUUCACUAGAGCACAUGUGUCAAAUAUUCAUUAGCUGCUGUUUGAUUUUGACAUGAAAACUAAAAUCAGAUACCCAAAAACAGAUUUUAUAAGAGGCUAAACAAAUAGAUGCUUGGUUUGAUUGCAGAAAUAUCACUUGAACCAUCACUUUAGGAUUCAAAACAAGGGCUUUGGCAUAACUACAACAUUGUGGGACAAAGUUUUUGGAACCCUUCCAAAGACCAAAGCAGACACGAAGAGUGGAUAGAUGAUGAUGAUGAGGCUGACAAGCAUCACAUGAUUGCACCCUGUCAUGGCCUUGUCAAUGUUUAAAUAAUGAUUUUGCCCUCUUUACUUUUAUUGUGCUCAAUAAUGGUGGUUGGGAUUGUGAGGGAGGAUCUUAGCUAAGCAACUCACUUCAUGUCUCCUGUUGUACUGUGUUUUCCCUAUAAAUAGAUGAAAUGGA
This 25036-nucleotide long non-coding RNA is filed under the name Gossypium barbadense (sea-island cotton). RNAcentral describes it as "long non-coding RNA (GBAR_LNC017440)". Lineage: Eukaryota; Viridiplantae; Streptophyta; Magnoliopsida; Malvales; Malvaceae. The record is from RNAcentral.